This is a long non-coding RNA of Lepisosteus oculatus (spotted gar), 940 nucleotides long. RefSeq lists it as uncharacterized. NCBI's taxonomy places the organism in Eukaryota, Metazoa, Chordata, Actinopteri, Semionotiformes, Lepisosteidae. The record is from RefSeq and is a predicted model, not a curated record.
AUGCUGCGGCUAGGUGUUGAAAAACCCACGUCUGGUUGAGGGGAACAGGGAUUCAUCCGUGAGCCGCAGUGGUUGGUUGGCCACAGAGACACUCAAGGGCUGGAGGAGAAAUCCGAGAGCGGUGCAGACGCGGGAGCCGAGAGCCGGGACCCAGGAGCGGAGGUUGUGUUUACAAAAGUAAUGGAGAAGUGGAUGGGGCUCCGGAGACCCAGGACUGCUGCUUUACAGGUGCAAAAGGAGAAGGCAGGGCUGGUGGGAUCAGGACACAAGGGAAUUACUGUGGGCUGGAUCAGGCACUGGUACCGCAAGCUCACAGGAAACCUUGGUGUGAGAGAACUACUUGAAACAAGAUAGCUCAGUGGAAGAAGAAAGCCAGACAGCCUUUUGCACAACCAUUGUCGACAUCAGCCGAUGACCAGAAGCAGCAACCAGGAAUUGUGGAAAGACGACACCAAGACAGCUGCAAAAAGGAGGGAAAAAAGAAAAGAAGAACAGAAAAAUUGUAUAAGAAAACACUGAUUAAUCUUUUAGCCUUUCUAGCUUGUGUUCUAUUAUAAACCGUUCAGCUCUCAGCGCAGUGGUUAAUGUGGUUUUCUGUUGCAUUCCUUCCUAUCAAUAGCACCUCAGUAAUAAUGGCUGAAAUCUGCUAGCAAGUACAGAGGAAAACAAGCACCGGCCUCAUAAUGAAUUCCAACUCUUUGUCAUUACACACAAUUGUUCCUGAACUGAAUGCUUAAGCCAACAAACAGCCAAUUGUCAACGUCUAGCCACCUGUUUAACAUUCCCCCAAAAAUGAUUGAUCAAGGGUACAAAAAUAGAUGAUUUGUACUUCAGUUGUGGUUACUCAUUUAUCUAUUGAUAUGACAAAUAUUCAAACAGUACAGCCCUUUCAUAUCUGAAAGUAAACAGAUUAAAAGCUGUAAGAAUUCCAAUAAAAAAU